GAUGAACGCUGGCGGUAUGCCUAACACAUGCAAGUCGAACGGCCGCACAGUAAGCUCUUGCUCUUACGGUUGGCGAGUGGCGGACGGGUGAGGCAUACAUCGCAAUCUACUUUUUCGUGGGGGAUAACGUGGGGAAACUUACACUACUACCUCAUACGAUCUACGGGUUAAAUCAGGAGAUCUUCGGACCUUUCCCGAUUCUAUUAGCCGAUGUCGGAUUAGCUAGUUGGCGGGGUAAAGGCACACCAAGGCAACGAUCCGUAGCUGAUCUGAGAGGAUGAUCGGCCACACUGGAACUGAGACACGGUCCAGACUCCUACGGGAGGCAGCAGUGGGGAAUAUUGCGCAAUGGGCGAAAGCCUGACCCAGCAAUACCGCGUGAGUGAAGAAGGCCUUCGGGUUGUAAAGCCCUUUUGUUGGGAAAGAACAGAAGCAGGUUAAUACGCGGCUGUUCUGACGGUACCCAAAGAAUAAGCACCGGCUAACUUCGUG
RNAcentral lists this ribosomal RNA (492 nucleotides) under uncultured bacterium. RNAcentral describes it as "partial 16S ribosomal RNA". It matches the Rfam family "Bacterial small subunit ribosomal RNA", at positions 28 to 507 of the family's 1533-position model. The record is from RNAcentral.